CAGCGUCAUGGACUGCAGGUACGUCUGCAUGUUGCCGAUGAGGAGCGCCAUGAGGAUGAGGCCCAGCAGCGCGAGCGUGAUGGAGAAGAGCUGCUCCCCCUUGUAGUGGGUCGUCUCCAGGCCCUGGCCGAUGGUGCUCAGGUUCUGCAGGCCCCACCAGAGGCAGAAGAGGAUCUUGGCCGUCAGGUUCUCCGUGGAGUAGACGCCCGACUGGAUGGCCGUGGUGUAGAUGCCGUAGGGGAACCCCGUGCCGCUGCCGUCGACGGGGGCGCACUCCUGCGCCAGCACCUGCCGGAUCAUGGUGCGCCACUCGAGGAAGCCCGACUGGCCCUGGCUGCCGCCGCCGCAGUACAUGUAGGUGCGGCACUGGUGGAAGUUGAGGUUGGUGCACUUGUCCCGCCAGCAGUCGUCCAGCCGCUCGAUGGCCAGCAGGUACCAGAAGGCCCC
Molecule: unclassified non-coding RNA, 447 nt
Filed under: Zea mays
Lineage: Eukaryota; Viridiplantae; Streptophyta; Magnoliopsida; Poales; Poaceae
Description: misc RNA Zm00001eb134720
Source: RNAcentral